Molecule: long non-coding RNA, 308 nt
Filed under: Setaria viridis
Lineage: Eukaryota; Viridiplantae; Streptophyta; Magnoliopsida; Poales; Poaceae
Description: long non-coding RNA (SVIR_LNC009243)
Source: RNAcentral
CGGCGACGGGCGGCAGGGCCGGCCGGCCACAGGGGCGGCGAUGGGCGGGGCUCUGGCGGCGAGUGGAACUCGGGAGAAUAGAAGGCAGAAUAGAAUAAAACGUUUUUUUAUGUAACCAGUGGCAUUGGUGGGUAAUUACCCACCAACUCCACGAGGAGGUUCAAAAGAGAGGUUUCUGGAACAGCAAAAGAGGUGCUCCAAAACUCCACCUCCAUUUGCACUACAGCUCCAUGGAGUUGGCAACUCCAUGGAGUUUUGGAGUUGGGGUGUUUGGCUAAAUUUUUUGAUGGAGUUGCUGGAGUUUAGGA